Dromaius novaehollandiae (emu) is the source of this 2742-nucleotide long non-coding RNA. RefSeq lists it as uncharacterized. The transcript is spliced from 2 exons. The record is from RefSeq and is a predicted model, not a curated record. Lineage: Eukaryota; Metazoa; Chordata; Aves; Casuariiformes; Dromaiidae.
CGAGUUCUGCUGGCUACUGCUAUCACUGCUACCAGAGCGUCGUCGUCGUCUCCUGCCUUUUAUCAGGACGCUCCGAUACACCUGCAGGGAAGCAGAGGAGCAUAACAAAGGAAGUGUGAUUAGAUGUGCAGCUACAGCCUUGAAGAAAUUGACACCUUUUAAGCAGCUGUUGGCCAAAUACAUUAUCUACUUCACAACUUGAUGCCUGCAUUGUUUAUCUACUCUAUAGAUAAUAAGAUGCUGCCUGCAUAAAGAAAAAUACUCUUCGGGUGUGCGUCUCAGUAGACAAGGUGUACAUAUUAACUGUAAAAUUGAAUUUUUCACUUCUAAGUAGGUAAGUAUUUUAAAAUUAAAGUGAAGACAUAUUGACAUAUAAACUAAAUGACUGGAAGGUACCUUUCUAAAGAAGAGCGACAGUGAACCCAUCUUCCGGGGCCUAAUGGUGGUGGUAGCGGCAAAUUGCUGGUUUUGUCUUUGCUCUCCAGAAGAGAUCUGCUGAACUGUUACUUGGCCUGGUAACUGCAAAGUUGCCCCAGUCAUCUGAGUGUUCAGGGUACCAGCAAGAGUCUGGGCACUAAGAGGCUGAAUGGAACCAGACACAGCUUGAGGCUGGGUACCUACAUUUACCUGAACUGGGAAGAAAGUAAUUCCUCCAUUUUCAUUGGCGAUACCUGUAAUUUAAGGAAGGGGGAAAAAAAAAGAAAAAAACACCCUAAAACAAAAGAGUUCCUGAUUUUUUUUUCUUUUUUUAAAGAAAAAAAUAUCUUGCUCUUAUUAGCAAGAUUAGCUCAUUAUUAUUUUGAUGAAACAAUUUCAUAUAUAUAUAUAUAUAUACACACUUUGGACUCAAGAUAACUGAUAUGGACAAAGGUUUUUAGUACUAAUCCAACUUUCUUCCCCAGCCAGUUCAGGAAAGCAAGCCUACUAAAUAAGUAAAUACAUUCUAUAUAUAGUCAGUGGCAGUCUGAAGAUCUCUGUGCUGACAACAUUGUGUCUCUAAAUUCUGCUCAUCUAUUCAAAAAUUCUUUCUACUAGAGGAAACCUUAAGCAUGGGUGUCCCCCCCUCUCCCCUUACUGGUUACUAAUACUCUGAUGAGAACCAGUAUGAACAAUUCCCCAGUAGCUUAUCUCUUACCUUGUACUGGUAUUGUAACAGUCUGCCCAUUAUUGGCUGUUACGGUGGCAGUUGCCACUGUAACCAGUGUCUGGCCAGGCACUGGAGUUACUGACACCGCUUCGGGAUUCAUGUUCUGCAUGGGCACGGUAUUGACCACAGGCUGCUGGGAAACUCUCACUGGAGUUCCGCCGUCAGAGUUACUGUCGUUAUCCGCAAAGAGUCUUCUCCGUGUGGGAUUGGCUGUUGGAGAACUGUAUCUGUCAUACAGAGUAGUGGGAGAGGAUGAAAGGCCUGAGGAUUAAAGAAAGAGGAUAUUUAGCUUUGUUGCAUAAUCCCUUAUUAUACAAAUACAUUAAAGAAUGCUAAAGAGAACCAAAAUGUCAUCCAAAGCUAUUCAGGAAGUGUCCUUAAAAGUUUAUGUCUCUAUUUGUCAUUUACAGAUUGCUUUUAAAGAUGAUGUAUUCUCAAAUAAUGCUAUGUUUAGUCUUCUAAGCUAAUGUAGUAUGUCUUAUUUUCCCAGAGAAAUUUUAAGAGAUAACACAUAAUUAAAUAUAUAAUGAAGCUUCCAGUCUGGUAUGACUAGAAAGCAAAAUAGCUAGAGGCCACUGUAGAGGUUUUUUUAAAAUGUAUAUACUGUUACACAGAAACUCCUGAAAACAUCCUCUCAGAACAGCAAUUUAAUCACACUGAAAUUACAACUGUAUCUGUCUUAAAUGACUGUCUUAACUAUACGAGUUGCAAUAGAAAUGCCAUUUACAAGUAAUUUUGCAGCUAAAUGUACACUGAGAUUAGAGCACCUUUCUUGCUGUACACCGUCUGAACUUAAAGCCAUGGUCUAAGAAGAAUGAAUAGAUAUUAUACUUAAAAAAAAAGUCUCACCUUUUCCUAGUCCUCCGGUUUCAGCACGAACCUCAUUUAUUCGUCUUGGUGUUAAUGGAGAACCUACAACACUGUUCCCAGCAGAUCUUUCAAAGUAGUGAGGUGGCAUUACCUAAGGUAUUUAUAUUGACAUUAGAAUGUCUGUAUCACAGACUGACUACAUAACAAACAUGAUCACGCUUCUCUUCUACAGAUUUUUGAUCAGCAAAAUGGUAGAGAGGAAAAAAAAACAAUGAAGAGUACUGAAGAUUUUACUUUAAGCAUAAUCUAGAAGCCUUGUAGUGAGAGUGUACUACUCAAGAAGAUAGAUACAGUACUGUAAUCUUUCUGUGACUGAGAUUAGGAGUCUGUACUCUUAUUUAUCAAAUGCACAUUUCUUCCAGCUCAGUAAUUUUUAAGAUCUCAAAGGGCUGUUCUAAACCUCCCUGCUUGUCUGCUUUAUUUAUGAUUCUGCUAUACUGUGUAAAUAGUGAGUAAGAAUCAUCUCAUUUGUGGACGUUACAUUUUGAAUGUCUCUCUGGAGCUAACAGUCCAUGGACAGAGUAGACUCCUUGUCUAGUCCACAGACAGACUAGAACACACUACAUUUCCAAUUUCUCUGCACUGAUUAGCUUACACUGAGAAACUGAAAUUUGGACAUGUAAAGCCUCUCCUUCGUGGUGUAAUGUCCACUGUCUAAGAGCCUGUCUGACAUAGGAAAACUAUGUGAAAUGUUAUAUAAUAUUAAAAAAAAAAAAAAAAAAAAA